CUCAUUAAAUCAGUUGUAGUUUAUUUGAUGGUCUCUUUUGUCUUUCUUUACCUACUUGGAUAACCGUGGUAAUUCUAGAGCUAAUACAUGCGCAAGGUCCCGAGCGCGGGGGGGCGAGGGCUUCACGGCCCUGUCCUCGCAUGCGCAGAGGGAUGUAUUUAUUAGGUUAAACAACCAGCAUCUUUUUCAUUUCUGGUGAUUCAUAGUAACUCUUUCGGAUCGCAUUCAUG
Molecule: ribosomal RNA, 230 nt
Filed under: uncultured Acanthamoeba
Lineage: Eukaryota; Discosea; Longamoebia; Acanthamoebidae
Description: partial 18S ribosomal RNA
Rfam family: Eukaryotic small subunit ribosomal RNA
Source: RNAcentral